AGUGAACGCUGGCGGUAGGCCUAACACAUGCAAGUCGAACGGCAGCACAGUAAGAGCUUGCUCUUACGGGUGGCGAGUGGCGGACGGGUGAGGAAUACAUCGGAAUCUACUUUUUCGUGGGGGAUAACGUAGGGAAACUUACGCUAAUACCGCAUACGACCUACGGGUGAAAGCAGUGGAUCUUCGGACCUUGCGCGAUUGAAUGAGCCGAUGUCGGAUUAGCUAGUUGGCGGGGUAAAGGCCCACCAAGGCGACGAUCCGUAGCUGGUGUGAGAGGAUGAUACGCCACACUGGAACUGAGACACGGUCAAGACUCCUACGGGAGGCAGCAGUGGGGAAUAUUGGACAAUGGGCGCAAGCCUGAUCCAGCCAUACCGCGUGGGUGAAGAAGGCCUUCGGGUUGUAAAGCCCUUUUGUUGGGAAAGAAAAGCAGCAGGUUAAUACCCCGCUGUUCUGACGGUACCCAAAGAAUAAGCACCGGCUAACUUCGUG
Molecule: ribosomal RNA, 492 nt
Filed under: uncultured bacterium
Lineage: Bacteria
Description: partial 16S ribosomal RNA
Rfam family: Bacterial small subunit ribosomal RNA
Source: RNAcentral